Molecule: ribosomal RNA, 108 nt
Filed under: Cymodocea nodosa
Lineage: Eukaryota; Viridiplantae; Streptophyta; Magnoliopsida; Alismatales; Cymodoceaceae
Also listed under: 2 other names
Description: partial small subunit ribosomal RNA
Rfam family: Eukaryotic small subunit ribosomal RNA
Source: RNAcentral
GCGUUAACGAACGAGACCUCAGCCUGCUAACUAGCUAUGCGGAGGUGACCCUUCGUGGCCAGCUUCUUAGAGGGACUAUGGCCGCUUAGGCCACGGAAGUUUGAGGCA